UAGAGAUUCUGGAAGUUUUGGAAGUUUUAUGGGAGUUGAGUGAUUAUAUCGCUAUUAGCUAUUGAGGAAGAUAGUAAGCAUAAACUUUGUAGUUGUUUGACUGAAGUGUUGGGAUUGAGUUUUUUUUCAAUAAUGGAUAAUUGUCUUUGGUUUUCUUGUGGAAGUUUGUUGUCUGAUCCUAGAGCUAUUUUAGCAAGAUUGCAAUGUGAAUUGGUCGUGAAUAUAUUGAGCAAAUGUGAAGAUGAUUAUUACAAUGUGCAUGUGGAUUAAAAGUACAGUUGAUCUUUAAUAUAUUAAUGAUUUUACUCUGAUAUUGAAAUAUUUGUUCACCAUCUCAAGCUUUUACUGACAAUACUAACAUAACAAAUAUUUUUGUCUCUCUAGUGUAUGACACAUCCUUGUGAGAAUUUGAGAUUAGGUAGUAAAUUACUUGAUUCGGGUAAUGAAAGUGGUAUAACAUUGACUAAUGUGUUGGAAUGUGACUUAGUCAAAGAUAAUUGUUGCAGGGUAAUUAGUCAAGUGAUUACAUUUAUGUUUUUUAAUUUUUUUUUGUUAUGACUUGCAUGUAAAGACUAUGAACAAUGGUUUUGUAUUUCAACAACUUACUUU
RNAcentral lists this long non-coding RNA (609 nucleotides) under Brassica napus (rape). RNAcentral's name for it is "long non-coding RNA (BNAP_LNC016278)". Lineage: Eukaryota; Viridiplantae; Streptophyta; Magnoliopsida; Brassicales; Brassicaceae. The record is from RNAcentral.